Molecule: long non-coding RNA, 125 nt
Organism: Salvelinus namaycush (lake trout)
Lineage: Eukaryota; Metazoa; Chordata; Actinopteri; Salmoniformes; Salmonidae
Exons: 3
Source: RefSeq, a predicted model, not a curated record
ACUGCUCAGAUUGUUCCUAUAGGUUAUACUGUUCCUAUAGGUUAUACUGUUCCUAAAGGUUAUACUGUUCCUAUAGGUUAUACUGUUCCUAUAGGUUAUACUGUUCCUAAAGGUUAUACUGUUCC